AGAUGGACUCGCGUCGCAUUAGCUAGUUGGUGAGGUAACGGCCCACCAAGGCGACGAUGCGUAGCCGACCUGAGAGGGUGAUCGGCCACAUUGGGACUGAGAUACGGCCCAGACUCCUACGGGAGGCAGCAGUGGGGAAUAUUGGGCAAUGGAGGAAACUCUGACCCAGCAAUGCCGCGUGAAUGAAGAAGGUCUUCGGAUUGUAAAGUUCUUUAGUCAGGGAAGAAGUCAAUGACGGUACCUGAAGAAUAAGCUCCGGCUAACUACGUGCCAGCAGCCGCGGUAAUACGUAGGGAGCAAGCGUUGUUCGGAAUGACUGGGCGUAAAGGGUGCGUAGGCGGUUGUACAAGUUAGAAGUGAAAUACCCAGGGCUUAACUCGGGUGCUGCUUCUAAAACUGUAUGACUUGAGUGCAGUAGAGGUUAGUGGAAUUCCUAGUGUAGCGGUGGAAUGCGUAGAUAUUAGGAGGAACACCAGUGGCGAAGGCGGUCUGCUGGACAGCAACUGACGCUGAGGCGCGAAAGCGUGGGGAGCAAACAGGAUUAGAUACCCUGGUAGUCCACGCUGUAAACGAUGGAUACUAGGUGUGGGGGGACUGACCCCCUCCGUGCCGCAGUUAACACAAUAAGUAUCCCACCUGGGGAGUACGAUCGCAAGGUUGAAAC
This 664-nucleotide ribosomal RNA is filed under the name uncultured bacterium. RNAcentral's name for it is "bacterial SSU rRNA". It matches the Rfam family "Bacterial small subunit ribosomal RNA", at positions 223 to 900 of the family's 1533-position model. The record is from RNAcentral.